RNAcentral lists this ribosomal RNA (430 nucleotides) under Pseudomonadota bacterium. RNAcentral describes it as "Proteobacteria bacterium partial 16S ribosomal RNA". It matches the Rfam family "Bacterial small subunit ribosomal RNA", at positions 355 to 776 of the family's 1533-position model. The record is from RNAcentral. Lineage: Bacteria; Pseudomonadati; Pseudomonadota.
UGGGGAAUAUUGGACAAUGGGCGCAAGCCUGAUCCAGCCAUGCCGCGUGUGUGAAGAAGGCCUUAUGGUUGUAAAGCACUUUAAGCGAGGAGGAGGCUACUUUAGUUAAUACCUAGAGAUAGUGGACGUUACUCGCAGAAUAAGCACCGGCUAACUCUGUGCCAGCAGCCGCGGUAAUACAGAGGGUGCGAGCGUUAAUCGGAAUUACUGGGCGUAAAGCGCGCGUAGGUGGUUCGUUAAGUUGAAUGUGAAAGCCCCGGGCUCAACCUGGGAACUGCAUCCAAAACUGGCGAGCUAGAGUAGGGCAGAGGGUGGUGGAAUUUCCUGUGUAGCGGUGAAAUGCGUAGAUAUAGGAAGGAACACCAGUGGCGAAGGCGACCACCUGGGCUCAUACUGACACUGAGGUGCGAAAGCGUGGGGAGCAAACAGG